UUGGUUAAUUUCUUAUUCUUACUUCUUACAACCUGUACUUUACUUUCAUUGUAGACGGACAUUGUAGAGAACGUCACAUAGCGCUUCCCUCAGUAAGUUUCGGCAACGGCAGCCAUAUAUCGCGUCUCACUGUGCCGCCGGUUUCCCGCGAUCGCAAUGGCGUAAUCACUGAGGGACCGCCGACCGGAUCCACGAGGACGAUAUCGUCGGGAAAGGUCGAGCCGGCCGUUCCUUCUUCGCCGUACGUGAAGAACGCGAGGGAGAUCGCCAAUUCAGCGAGGCUGAGUCGAUUCGAGGUAUCGCUUGGGCUCGUCUCAUCUCGCCCCGCACUCCAUGGCUUUCGACGGCAAGGAAUGAUCGAGUAAUCAUAGAGUUCCUUCGUGCAGCGACAGAAUCGCAACGUCACGGUCGUUAUUGCGUUACUUGUGGCACUCGAGGUCAUCAGAUCGAGGUAUCAGUUUUUUCUCUGUAACAAUAUGGCGCCAAGUAAAAAAGAGCGCGUCACAAUCGUCCAAGUUUUCUAAUUACUUUGCGGUUAAGUGGUAUGUAGUAAAAACACCAAUGCCCGCGCCUAAUCUUGAUCAUUUUUAUCGUUUUAAUCCUUAAAUGGUUGAACUUUCAACAUAAAAUGUAUGUACAUAUAUUCCAUAUUGUAAGAUUCUAAAAGAAUCUUACUCUACUAAAAUAAGUAUCCUUCGGUUCGACAAUCGAUUUGUAAGACGAUUUUUGCUCGAGGUGUGUAUCACGAUGGAACAGUGGGAGGAUUUCGCAAGCGGACGAGGAAAACCAGACCGUGAUGUAGAACACGUCCUCGUCCUCAUGAACGCGAAGAAAAAUGUCCGGAACGGGAGUAUCUCCUCGACACGAAGCGACCAAACGAUGAAGGUAUGUUUCUCCAAUCCGAUCGAUCGAUAUCACGUGUAAUAUACGCGUGACUGCGUGUCGUGGUAACGCGCAACCGCCGGUUUCGCUUACGUUCCCUCGAUUUCUCCCGGUAUUCGCGACGUUAACGCGUUCCAUGGCGUGAUGGACUCUGGAUCGCGUCCACGAGAGAGUCGAGGAUUACACGUUCGGCGAGACAGAGUAAUCAGAUUCGAUUUCCUUGCGUUCUCGCUUGCCGUGUCGUUCGAUUUGCAUCUUGCGGAUCAUUCGUGCAGCUGCGCGCAAGUAUAAUAAUGCGUUUUGUAUAUAUUUAAUUGUAUGUCGACAUGUAGACCGCAGAAAGCACAACGAUCGAGUGAGCGUUUAUUGUCGUUGGAAUAUUCUUCUACAUACAUCAUGAGUAUAAAAGGGUAUCUUGAUCAAAGGCAAUAAUCACUUAAUGAUUGCACAACUGUUAUGCUUUCUGAACGCACCCAAUGUACGUGAAUUGUCGGACUGUCGUAAAGUUCAAUUUUAUAUCGUAUAGAUACAUGUAGCAAACGUUAUAAAAAAUUCAAGAGAUAAUUCUAAUCUUUCGAUACUAUUGUGUUCUAACUAUUGUGUUCACUAUCAUAUAGAAAACAGUAGAAAAGAAUCAUGUUCUCGACGAACGUGUUGAGUCUGUGAAUAUCUCACAACGGAACAAUGUUGAAAGUAUUAACCCUUUGACAGGUCUAAAAAGGUUUGAGAAAACGAAUGCUCAAAUGUUUCAUGAAGUAAAUUAUAUCUCCUGAAUACGGUUAUAUUAUUGUCAAAAUGCCACUUUCGACAAAAAAAUUGUUCACGAUUUUUGUCACCUAACGGCAAAAAUCAAACUAUCAUCGAGACAUCGACCA
Odontomachus brunneus is the source of this 1757-nucleotide long non-coding RNA. RefSeq lists it as uncharacterized. The record is from RefSeq and is a predicted model, not a curated record. The transcript has 3 exons. Lineage: Eukaryota; Metazoa; Arthropoda; Insecta; Hymenoptera; Formicidae.